RNAcentral lists this ribosomal RNA (219 nucleotides) under Ambispora leptoticha. RNAcentral's name for it is "partial 18S ribosomal RNA". The stretch from base 95 to 219 matches the Rfam family "Eukaryotic small subunit ribosomal RNA", at positions 738 to 864 of the family's 1831-position model. The record is from RNAcentral. Lineage: Eukaryota; Fungi; Glomeromycota; Glomeromycetes; Archaeosporales; Ambisporaceae.
GGUCUGGCCGGGCGGUCCACCUUCCGGUGAGCACUGUUCCGACGCCGGGACCUAUCCUUCUGGUGAGACGGCAUGCCCUUCGCUGGGUGAGUCGGGGAACCAGGACCAUUACCUUGAAAAAAUUAGAGUGUUCAAAGCAGGCAUUUGCUCGAAUACAUUAGCAUGGAAUAAUAAAAUAGGACGCGUGGUACUAUUUUGUUGGUUUCUAGGACCGCCGUA